CGGUGUUCAACUGGCGUGCCCGCGGGACGUCCUGCCGGUGAGCUCAGCCCGCGAGGGCGGCUCAACUUGAAAUCCCAUCGCGGUGCUCUUCAUUGAGUGUCGAGGUGGGCCGGCACGAUUACUUUUGAACAAAUUAGAGUGCUUAAAGCAGGCUAAAAUUUUGCCUGAAUACUGUGUAUAUGGAAUAAUGGAAUAGGACCUCGGUUCUAUUUUGUUGGUUUUCGGAACCCCGAGGUAAUGAUUAAUAGGAACGGAUGGGGGCAUUCGUAUUGCGACGUUAGAGGUGAAAUUCUUGGAUCGUCGCAAGACGGACUAAAGCGAAAGCAUUUGCCAAAAACGCUUUCAUUGAUCAAGAACGAAAGUUAGAGGUUCGAAGGCGAUCAGAUACCGCCCUAGUUCUAACCAUAAACUAUGCCAGCUAGCGAUCCGCCGACGUCCCUCUGAUGACUCGGCGGGCAGCUUCCGGGAAACCAAAGCUUUUGGGUUCCGGGGGAAGUAUGGUUGCAAAGCUGAAACUUAAAGGAAUUGACGGAAGGGCACCACCAGGAGUGGAGCCUGCGGCUUAAUUUGACUCAACACGGGAAACCUCACCAGGCCCAGACACUGGAAGGAUUGACAGAUUGAGAGCUCUUUCUUGAUUCAGUGGGUGGUGGUGCAUGGCCGUUCUUAGUCGGUGGAGCGAUUUGUCAGGUUAAUUCCGAUAACGGACGAGACUCUGACCUGAUAACUAGACGCACUUGCGGCAUCUCAAAGGUCCGCCGGCGGCUGGCUUUGCGCCCGUCGUCGCGCGCGAUUUUUACUGCCGGCGUACAAUAAACUCUUCUUAGAGGGACAAGUGG
RNAcentral lists this ribosomal RNA (839 nucleotides) under uncultured eukaryote. RNAcentral's name for it is "SSU rRNA". It matches the Rfam family "Eukaryotic small subunit ribosomal RNA", at positions 635 to 1426 of the family's 1831-position model. The record is from RNAcentral.